Molecule: long non-coding RNA, 1201 nt
Organism: Bos taurus (domestic cattle)
Lineage: Eukaryota; Metazoa; Chordata; Mammalia; Artiodactyla; Bovidae
Source: Ensembl
GUGUAAUAAUAACAUCUCAGAGGGGGUCUGCCACUGUUUGGGCAAACACACUAUCUUUAUUUUUAUUUGUUAAAGAGAUUGAAUUAAGGAAACCAAAACAAAUAAAUGAGCACACUGAACUCCCCACAACCACCCUUCUCUUCCUGGAGCAAAAGCAAAUUCUUCCUUAGGCAAAAGGUCAGACAGGAGACAGAAUACCCAAACAAGCCCUGUAGUGCCUGACACUUUGAUUUACCAGUUGGCUGCGGUGAAGGGCCACAGAGCUGGGUAUGUGUUUCAUUUUCAGCACCUGCUGCUCUGGGAGAUGUGGUUUCAGGGUCAGGGUCAUCCAGGGCAGGCUUUGAGCUUCAGAAGUCAGGGACCAUGUCUGGUCAAUGUUGUUUCCUUCAAGCUCAGCUCAGGGCUUUGCAUACAGUGGGUGCUCAAUCAAUGUUUUGAGAAGGAAGGCAUGUGUGGGAACUAAGAUCCCACAUGCUGUGGAGCCCCUAAGCCCUAGCAUCCCAACUAAAACUUGACACAGUCAAAUAAAUAAAUAUAUUAAAAAAAAAAAAAGAUUUAGAGGGCCCUCUCAGUGAAGACAUGUCUCAAAACUCCCUGUUCAAAACCAGGAGGUCAGGAAGCAAAGGAGUCAGGGCGGAAAUGGCCUGAAUUUCAGGGACCCGGCAAGUGAAGAGUUUGGGCUUUGGAAUCAAACAGACAAGAGCACAAACCACAGCUCCACAACAUGUGACCUUGGACAAGCACCUUUACCUCUUCUCUACAUGUUGGUUUCCCUCCUUGUAAUAUGGGAUGGAGACUAGUAACUGCCUCCUCUGCUGGUAAAUAAGAUACAAUCCAAAGGCACAGAGCACCUGGCCCAGAGAGAUUGCUUCGUAUCUGCUAUCCAGCAUGGCCAUCUGAUGGGGCCUGGACCUGGCUAAUUGUGGGCCCUGCUCCUCCCUCUGCCUGAGCCCCCAGCAGCUUCUCUGACCCAGCUGGAGGAAGAAGCUCUGAUGGGCAUCUCCUGUCCGUGCACAUCAAGUUAUUUCUAGUUGAUUUGUUAUUGUGGUUGUUGUGGUUGUUAUUUCUACUAAGAACAUUGAGCUAUGAAUAAACUGUGCAUUUUUCUUGAUGAAUGUGGAAAAGAGAUUCUCUAGGGUGUACAUAAUAAUAAUUAUAAUAAUAAACAACUGGAAAAAUAAGGGCAUUGAGUGCUCAGGAU